Molecule: long non-coding RNA, 727 nt
Organism: Homo sapiens (human)
Lineage: Eukaryota; Metazoa; Chordata; Mammalia; Primates; Hominidae
Exons: 2
Source: RefSeq, a predicted model, not a curated record
CCUCGGGAGCCCCACUCCCACCCCGCCUCUGCGGGACCACUUCCGGCGCCUUCCUAUGCCGUCUGCCCGCCCCCUUCCCUCCACGGCCUAUAUCCUUUCAGGGCCGCCACAGCGCUCGCGAGUCCCUGCGUAACUUCCGCUUUUAGGCCGAGACACGUACAAACGUGAUACGUGGCUGCUGGCGUCGACCCGAGGGGCAGGGACUAGGCAUUUUAGCAACCAAGGGGGUGUGGCUAAGCGAGAGAGCGGCUUCCCUGGUGGCCCGGGCGCGCGGUCUUGUCAUCUUGUUGCUCCUUGUGAGCGCUGGGUAGAGAAAGUGAGGGGGUAGAGGGUUUACUUGCCAGGCCUGGGUUCUCUGGGUGUCACGGGUAGGCGCUUAGAUCCAAAACGGCGGCGCCACAACAGCUGAACAGACGGAUCUCGAGCCGGGGUUUGGGCUACUUGUGUCUAGGCGCUCGCGAAGCUGCGCAGGCGCACACAGCAGCGCCGUGGUCCUGUCUUGGAUGCCCAUUACUCAUCAAAUUCGGCCACAUGCCGUGCGCUUACCUCCUACUCAGAUGCACGCGUGCCGGGGAUGGGGGCACGCGCUUACUUCUUUUGCCCCGUUUAGAAAGGAGAAGACAGCCAUGUACAAACCAAGGAGAGAGACCUCAAGGUAACCACACCUUGAUCAUGGAAUUCUAGCCACCAGAAUUGUUAAGACAAUAAAUGUCUGUUGUUUAGGCCA